UUUUCUCUUCUCAUUUAAGUACCAGGAGGAGCUCUUCUUUCUGAGGGUGAACAAGAUCCUCUGAUUCCUCCACCUCGCGGUGCCUUUUGGAGAGUGACUUCUUUGUUGCUGCUGGCUGAAUGAUUGCUCAUUCGUUCCUCCAUGAUGGGCCGGGCCUUGGAGGACUCAGCCCAGCUGUUCUGCAUGUGCUCUUUGGUGGAAGCCCAGAAGAAGUCAUGAUGAAAAUAUCAAGGACUGUGCUGACCUCGAUAUCCGCAAGACAGUCAAAGUGGUACUUGGAAGAAGCUCAAGACGGGUUAAACAGUUACGAAGGGGCUUAAAAGAGACGCUGAUCUGGCCUUUGCUAACUGAGAGGAAAGACACAAUUCCCCUCCUCUUUCCAAGAGCAUGUGAUGUACAGCGCACACCACAGGAGCAGGACAGCAAAGAGUGGAGAUCUAGUCGAGUGUUUUGCUCUCAGUGAGGAGGAACAAGCAGUUUAUCACAUGCAGAGCGGAGAGUGCGGGUCGGGAUGUCGGGUUGGACCAGGUCCUGGAUGUAAGCUGGACCCCAUCCAUUCACAGCACGCAUCUGUCAGCAUCCUUGGGAAACUCCUACAGUUGUGGAUAGGAUGGAAUGUGCUCCCCAGACACCAGCUGGAUAUCAGCGUGGUGGAGAGCAACUUCUCCACUUCCUCCACCUGCUUCCACCAGCUGAAGCUUCCAGUACAAAGACUACUGCCACUCUGAAAUGGAC
This is a long non-coding RNA of Gasterosteus aculeatus aculeatus (three-spined stickleback), 735 nucleotides long. Lineage: Eukaryota; Metazoa; Chordata; Actinopteri; Perciformes; Gasterosteidae. The record is from Ensembl.